ACAUUCCGAAGUUCUGUGAAAAGAGGCACUAGCGCUCAGCCACGCAAGGCAGGAAAACAGAGGAAGUUUUCGCAUUCUGAUUGCAGCCUGAGUUCCCCGGAGCAAGGCUGCUUCUCUCCACCCACUCCUCACCAAGAACUCCUGAACUUGAGGGUGGACGACUUCAAAGCUAGCUCCCACAGACUCACCUGGAAAAGAGUUCAGCUGCGCGUUCAUUGAACCGAGAGGCCAGAUCACCUAUGUGAGGCGGUGGGAACCAUAUGGAGAUUUAUAUUAGAACUUCAGCAAAGUGCACAGCUGCAGCCGGCAGAAGCCAGCUCUCGGGCUGACAGGCAAAUGAACCAGAUCGUGGACGGGGCCUCUGGGUGGCAGCUCCGGCCUUUUGGUUGUUGGACAACUAUAGUCAGAACUGAAAUGGAACAGGGGCAGGAGAAAUAACACACUUUUACUCCACGCAACUGUUGCUUUCACAUGAUCUUCAGGAAUGUAACUGGGAUAAUUGUCCAAAUCGAAUCCCAUGCCCUGUCAUGGUACUGAUUAUUAAGGUGACUAUAUGAAAGAAUCACUCCAAAAUAACACACACCAGAAUAGGAGUCCUGUCUUAACUGAGCAAUAUACACUAUGGAGAGAUCCUUCAAAACCCGUCGGGAUGAAUAACAGAUGAAUUCAUAAACUGUUCAUCUCUGUUAUCCUGAAUGGUCACUCAGACAACAUUUUACUCAACUAUAAAGGCAUUUGAACUGGUCGAACAGGACGACAGAGCAGUGAGCAUGAGAUCAUUGCAGCCGAGUAGCAAACUGGCACCCAGCCUUUUCACCCCUUCGGUUCGGGAGACGAACGUGUGCAGUCCUCGUUUCUCAAGUCAGCCUGGAAGGAUUCCGGGACUCUCCCACCUUCUACCAUUCUGCUGCCAGUCGGUGGCAACGAUUGGUGCAGAUUCUGCGCAGUGCUUUGUGCCUGGAAUAUGGAGAAGGAAGAGAAUGAAGACAAGCCCUCUGGACCUCCUUCUCUGAGAAAUACUGGGAGCCCAGAAG
This 1034-nucleotide long non-coding RNA is filed under the name Mus spretus (western wild mouse). Its description in RNAcentral is "lncRNA (ENSMSPG00010015621.1)". Lineage: Eukaryota; Metazoa; Chordata; Mammalia; Rodentia; Muridae. The record is from RNAcentral.